GCACUGCUGAGGAGUCCCAUACUAGCACGAAACGGCCGUCCAGUGC
Molecule: non-coding RNA, 46 nt
Organism: Schistosoma margrebowiei
Lineage: Eukaryota; Metazoa; Platyhelminthes; Trematoda; Strigeidida; Schistosomatidae
Source: Rfam